GCGCAAAUGUGUUGGAACAGACACUUAGUGCCAUAAACAGUCACAGCAAGGAUCUGCCGCUGAGCACUGAGGGGUAAUGGGAGGUUCUGGGGCAAGAAGAGCUUUUGAGGACUCCAUAAGGACAGAGGCGGGGACGGUGGGAAGGAGUGGGCAGUGUGGGUGGAAGGCAGGGGCUUGGGGACAGCGAGGGGGAGGCCUGCAGCAGGGGCGCGGCUCUGGAGAACAAGGGAGCAGGGGCUGUGGGGAGCGGUCGCUGCAGGGUUGGACGGAUGCUAGGCCAAGGUGGGGCCAGCGGCACGGGUUCCCAGGUGAGUGGGGCUGGGACCGGAUGGGAGGGAGUGACCUCCCCAUCACGUGGAGGCUGAGUUGAUGACGAUGGGAAGAGCAGCGGGGGCCAAAAAGGGAGGGACGGCCCGGCACGCCGUGCACUCGAUGCCCAACGGGCCCCCAUUUAAGGUAAGCAUUUGUUUAACUGCACCGUGACACACAGUAUUUUCUGAAUUUAAGUUGAACUCAGUUCAACAAAUGUUUAUGAACUGUCUACGGAGGAGAGGCACUGAAGUGCAGCGAUGACUCAACGCGUACUUGAGCUUCAAAAGGCUGCCAGAACCUUUUCAGUUCCUGUUCUUUGGAAACACUUUGGGAAAUUUUUGAGGCCAGGAGUUCCAAGCUGCAGUGUGUGAUUAUCGUGUCUGUGAAUGGCCACGGCACUCCAGCCUGGGCAACAUAGCAAGACCUCAUCUCUUUAAAAAAGACAGGUCUGAGCAGCUCCUAGGGGCCAAUCCCUAUUCGAGGCAACAGCAGAGGGAAGACAAGAAGAUGGCUACAUGCACCCACCACCUGACUGCAGCAGCUCACAGGCCCCCCAGGGCUGGCAUUGCCUGACCCAGGGAAUGUGGCAAGGGGUGCCACCAAGGCAAACACAGGAGGAAUCUUUAGACGGUGUGCUGGUCCCCACACCAGCCUCUGACUUGAAGUGCCUCCAUUCCCCUAGCAAAUGCAUGAAACAAAAGUUGUGCAGGCCUCACGUCUGAUUGAUUCUCUUCUCUUUGUGGACAUACGUUAGACUUAGAAAUAAACUCGUAUUAAAAGAUAUUUUUAAUGGCUUUUUCUUCCCUUACUUAGAGGCAAAUAAUGAUAAGCUAUACUUCAGUAUGUAUUUUAGGCUUGAAAUCAU
Molecule: long non-coding RNA, 1177 nt
Filed under: Homo sapiens (human)
Lineage: Eukaryota; Metazoa; Chordata; Mammalia; Primates; Hominidae
Description: HSALNT0116709
Source: RNAcentral